AAUAGCAUUACACUGUGACGUUAGCUACAGAAGAAGCACCGGCAAACUCCGUGCCAGCAGCCGCGGUAAUACGGAGGGUGCGAGCGUUAAUCGGAAUUACUGGGCGUAAAGCGCGCGUAGGCGGUUAUUUAAGUGAGGUGUGAAAUCCCUGGGCUCAACCUAGGAACUGCAUUUCAAACUGGAUAACUUGAGUAUGUCAGAGGGUAUUGGAAUUUCCCGUGUAGCAGUGAAAUGCGUAGAUAUGGGAAGGAACAUCAGUGGCGAAGGCGAAUACCUGGGAUAAUACUGACGCUGACGGUGCGAAAGCGUGGGGAGCAAACGGGAUUAGAUACCCUCGGUAG
This 341-nucleotide ribosomal RNA is filed under the name uncultured bacterium. RNAcentral's name for it is "bacterial SSU rRNA". It matches the Rfam family "Bacterial small subunit ribosomal RNA", at positions 456 to 793 of the family's 1533-position model. The record is from RNAcentral.